AAAUAGGACAUAAAUGAAUAUUCUGUUUUUCAGGAGGACAUUGACAUGAUUGCAUCACACAGUUGCUACACAUUUGUUGGUUGCACAUCCAUUAUGUAAAACCCAAAGAUGCUCUGUUGGAGCGAUCUGGCGACUGUGGAGGUCAUCUAAUUCACUGUCAUGUUUAAUAAAGCUGUUUGAGAUUAUUUGAGCUUUUUGACUCAGACUCACAGGUAGAUGGAGUAAACAAAAAACUGGCUGAUGACCAAAGUACAAAAAAAGAACUAAAGGGAAAAAAGAAACUGAAACCUAAACUGAGAACUAAUACUAGGCAAGGGAGUGCUGGAGCUGGAAAAUAAGAGGGGAAAAUGAACUGACACUCUGAAAAAGAUCAAGGAGAAGGCAAUAACUAUAUAUACUUAAAAGGGUGAUUACAGCAGUGAAGAUAACAAAUAGAACAGAAUAGAGAAUAACAGACCAGAGAAAGGAAGCAAAAUUUAAGACAAUGAAAAAGGAACACAACCUCCAAAAUAAAACAGGAAGUGACAGAACUAAAUAGGGAAACCGCAGACAUGUGAAUGGACUUUGCGGUGGAUGAAACGCUGGGAAAAGAGCUAAACUCUAAACCAACUGAGAACUAGGAGCAAACCUAAAAACACUAAAGAACACAUGAAGUGAACAUAAACCUUUAACAAACCAGGGAUCACAAUGGAUAAAUAAAAAAAUAAAAUAAAUAAUAACAAAAAUAUAUUUAAAAAUAAUAAAUAAUUAAAUAAAUAAAACCUCUGGCCAAAAUAUAUACACUGGGUAAACUGACCCAGGACUGUCACAGUUAAGUCUAUUUGCCCAUGUGUGUUAUGUUUCCCACCUAUUUUCCCUUAAAUACACAGCAGCCUCAUUACCUGCUGUGUAUUUAUUGUCUAAGCCUCCCUGUGUUCUUUGUCAUGUUCUACCUCAAAGCUGUGUUUUCUCUGAUCCUUCCUGGAUUGUUAGUUCCUGGCUCCUGCUUUUGUAUUGUUUUUGUAUAGUAAUUCCUGCAAUACAGUAAUUCAUGACAGAAAUUUAGGUGAACAAUUGGUAAUCUUAAGUAACUAAAACAUAUGAAUGCAAAAAACACCCCAAUAAACACC
This is a long non-coding RNA of Astatotilapia calliptera (eastern happy), 1109 nucleotides long. The record is from Ensembl. Lineage: Eukaryota; Metazoa; Chordata; Actinopteri; Cichliformes; Cichlidae.